CCGAGUUGUACCAACUCCCAAACCCCUGUGAACAUACCGCACGUUGCUUCGGCGGACCGCCCCGGCGCCCGAGCCCCCCAGGGGGCGACGGCCCGGAGCCAGGCGCCCGCCGGGGGACCCAAACCCUUGCCUUCGCCCUCGGCGGAAUCUCCUUCUGAGUAGAGAAAACAAACGAAUCA
This 179-nucleotide unclassified non-coding RNA is filed under the name uncultured Ophiocordycipitaceae. Its description in RNAcentral is "sequence contains ITS1". Lineage: Eukaryota; Fungi; Ascomycota; Sordariomycetes; Hypocreales. The record is from RNAcentral.